This is a non-coding RNA of Triticum urartu, 1234 nucleotides long. The record is from RefSeq and is a predicted model, not a curated record. Lineage: Eukaryota; Viridiplantae; Streptophyta; Magnoliopsida; Poales; Poaceae.
GCUUCCGAGUUAUUAUUUGCUCUCGUUGGGGUCCGCAUAUAGUAGCAGCAAUUCGAUAGUGAUUAGUGCCAGAUUACAUUAUUUCCCCCUGCUGCAUUGCUUUGGUAACCAUCGCAGAUACUACUAGUCACGUAUUUCCGCCUCUUAAAUCAUGCCAUGUGUCCUUUUGGUGUGACUCCAUUUCUCUGCUUUGACGUUGUUCUUUGCCCAACAGAGACCCUCGACGAUGACGCUCACAAAAUCAUGACCAAGGUCGAGCAGCGCAAUGUGCUGGAGUACAGGGUCAUCAAGGACACGAUGAACCGCCGUUCCGUACGCCCGUCAUGGGGUCUGCUCCUUCCCCACCAGGACGACGCCAUCGAAGGUGCCAGCGACCAAGGCGACGCCAUGGAAACUGCUUGUGCUCUGCUCCUUUCCCACCAGAAUGAUGCCAUGGAAGCAUGAUUGAUUUGGUACUGCAUCAUCACCGGUUAAUUCAGAGGACAAGGGAUUCAUUGUGCGUGUCUCCCUUCGACCAAUGAGGCGCGGCGCUGUUCGGCACUGGCUGCAAAACAACCACGGAUUGGAUUAUGUACAAAAGAGGACAGGGGGUUCAUCAUGGCGCUAUGGCUGUCUCCAAGCCUCGGUGGCAUCUUCCAUAGGCCCCGCUGUCGUGCGACGGUUGCGCUGUUUGGCAUCGUCUACAAAACAGCCAAGGAUUGGGUUAGGUCCAACAUAGGAGAAGGGGAUGUUCAUCACGGUGCUAGGCCACCGUCUCCAGCCACGGCGGCGUCUUCUGUUUGGCAUCGGCUGCAAAACAGCCAAGAUGAGCAGCAAGAGUGUUGGGCGUGCCACAGUGGAGGCGUACAGGAGGAUGGCAUUUCAUUGGCGAGAGAGUUGAACGUCGCAGUUUUACGACGAGCAUGGCAUUUUAACUGCCUUUAUUUUUUGUAUCUAUCUAUCCAUCCUUGAUGAUGUGAUUUGCUGUCACGUCAGCCGGAAAUCAGUAUGUAGUGUGCUUGUGGAGUCUGGGCUGGAUCAAGAUCCACAUCCAGAUCCAGUGGUGCUUAGCUUAGUUACCUCUGUCCCAAAUUAUAACAUGUUUUGGUAAACAUCUUAUAAUUUGGAACAGAGGAAGUAGAUAAGGUGAGGUGAGCUUUUGUUUAUUUCCUGCUCCAUUCGCAUUUUUGUGUAACUGGUCUUGUGCUUGUUAACAUAGAAAACAAAAAAAAAUGAUAUGUGACGUUAUGGUCAC